CCCGCCGCUUACUCGGGGAUAGCCUUUCGAAAGAAAGAUUAAUACCCGAUGGUAUAAAGAGUUCGCAUGUUCUCUUUAUUAAAGAAUUUCGGUAAGCGAUGGGAUGCGUUCCAUUAGAUAGUUGGCGGGGUAACGGCCCACCAAGUCUACGAUGGAUAGGGGUUCUGAGAGGAAGGUCCCCCACAUUGGAACUGAGACACGGUCCAAACUCCUACGGGAGGCAGCAGUGAGGAAUAUUGGUCAAUGGACGAGAGUCUGAACCAGCCAAAAGUAGCGUGAAGGAUGACUGCCCUAUGGGUUGUAAACUUCUUUUAUAAGGGAAUAAAGUGAGGGACGUGUCCCUUUUUGUAUGUACCUUAUGAAUAAGGAUCGGCUAACUCCGUGCCAGCCGCCGC
RNAcentral lists this ribosomal RNA (395 nucleotides) under uncultured bacterium. RNAcentral's name for it is "bacterial SSU rRNA". It matches the Rfam family "Bacterial small subunit ribosomal RNA", at positions 125 to 518 of the family's 1533-position model. The record is from RNAcentral.